Molecule: ribosomal RNA, 245 nt
Filed under: uncultured bacterium
Lineage: Bacteria
Description: partial 16S ribosomal RNA
Rfam family: Bacterial small subunit ribosomal RNA
Source: RNAcentral
UAGGGUGCAAGCGUUAAUCGGAAUUACUGGGCGUAAAGCGUGCGCAGGCGGCUUGAUAAGACAGGUGUGAAAUCCCCGAGCUUAACUUGGGAAUAGCACUUGUGACUGUCAGGCUAGAGUGUGUCAGAGGGAGGUGGAAUUCCAAGUGUAGCAGUGAAAUGCGUAGAUAUUUGGAAGAACACCGAUGGCGAAGGCAGCCUCCUGGGAUAACACUGACGCUCAUGCACGAAAGCGUGGGGAGCAAA